GGAGGGAUCAUUAAGGCUACCAAGAACUGGGGACUUGUCCCCGGUUCCACCGUGUAAUGUUAAAGUUCUCCCCCUUAAAUGGGGCAAUAUACACCCUUUCAACGCACUUGGCCGCGAAAACUUCGGUUUUAGCGGCCCCAAUCACGUUCAAAGGCCGUCUUCUUCGCGAGACUCAGCCUUUUUACGCAGAAAUAUGACCCUUAACGAUGGAUGUCUCGGGUUCAAGAUCGUUGAAGAGCGCAGCAAAGCGCGAUAUUCGAUGUGAUUUGCAGAACAUGUGAUGCAUCAGACUCUUGAACGCAUGUGCACUGCGGGGGCUUGCCCCCGUAGUAUGUCCGGCUGAGUGCUAACAAACUCACUUCGCAACCAAUCCCCUCUUGUGGGGGGUUGUUCUGCGUGUUGGCGGUGCAAAGCUCCGCUUAAAUAGCUGCUUGAAGGCUGAUCUCGGCGUCCACCUAUGACGGAUUACUUUUAAUCCCAGGCAGAUCAGGCGAGAAAGACCGCCUCAAGUCAGGUUAUGGCGCGUGCGUGAGACUUUUGGCUCCGGUACUUCACCCGUUAAAAUUCGACGCUGGCGUGAUAUGUGUCUGCCUCUUCAGGCUUGACCAUAGCCAAUUAAACGCGUCCUACAGGGCAAUGAUAUUACCAGCCAAGUCGCGGCCCAUAAUGCAGGGUUAUCGAAGGGGACCUUCCGAAAAUCUGCUUGUAAAGCGGGGGUUGUGCGAGCGGGAUAAGACGCAGAACUCGGUUAUAAGACCGUGCAAAUAACUGCAUGGCCGCCGACAAGUGCGCGAUUAAGACUCGUUAACAGCCAACGUAGUAAAAAUGUUUUUGCUAUCGCGGUAAAAUGGACUAUAAGACGCACAGGUCAGCCUGUAAACCGUGCAAGACCCCGUAUGUUGGCCGACAAGUUGGCGUGAUAAGACCCAUUUAAGCGCUUGCGCGGUAAAAUGGGCAAUAAGACGCAGACUUCUCGGCUCGUAAAACGUACGCACGCUGCAUGUUUGGCCGACAAGCGCGAUAAGUUCCCUUUAAGCGAAGUUAGCGAAAGCUAAGGCAGACUUAAGGCUGAUCCCCCCCCGAUAAAAUGCCCCCACCACUUUAAACUUUUAGCCUCAGCUCGGAUAGGACCAUCCGCUAGACUUAAGCAUAUUAUUCAGCGGAAGAAAAGAAAACAACUGUGAUUUCCCUAGUAACUGCGAGUGAAGAGGAACAAGACCAGGAUGAAUCAGAGGGGUUUUCUCCUUUUCUGAGUUGUGUCCUUUAGAUCGGCGUCGGUGCGCGAUCUUCUUUCAAGUUGGCUGGAAAGCCACACCACAGAAGGUGACAGUCCUGUUGAAAGAAGAAGGUGCCGCGUAUCAUCAGCCGAAUCGAAGAGUCGCACUGUCUGGGAGUAUAGUGCAAAUCAGCAGGUAAGCCCCUGCUAAGUCUAAAUAUGGCUUGAACACCGAUAGCGAACAAGUACCACGAGGGAAAGAUGCAAAGAACUCUGAAAAGAGAGUUAAAAGUACCUGAAAUCGUUAAGGAGGAACCAGUGACAACAGCCUGUGUGAGGGGGCCGAAUCACUGCACGGCCGAUGACGGGCGCCUUUCCUGAGAUGCCUACGGGUAUUUCGUAAGAGGGAGGCUGCCGAAGUUGGUUGUGUGGGCACUUUGGCCUCUUCCGUUCAUAAUCCCUGCGUGUUGGGCCUGUUAGAUCGGAACGAUGCUGGGGAAACCCAGGUUAAGUCCGGUCGAAACACCCCGACGUUCUGGGAGGCGAAAGGAGCAGCCCUGCGCAGCCGGUGCUUGCUCGCUAGUUGUAGCAGGUAAGCAUCCUAGAUGCUUGCUUGUUGCGGCGGGUGCGUGUGAGUACCGCUGCUUGCUCCUAUUGAUUAUGAGAAGGAUUGCCACUGACCCGUCUUGAAACACGGACCAAGGAGUCUAACCUGCGCACGAGUUUAAGGGUGCAAAACCUGUAAGCGGAGAGAAAUCGAGAGCAGCGAGAUGCUGCUGGCUUCGGCCAGCGGUUGCAUCGCAGGCCCAGCCCGAGGUAAGUCCGAGGGUUUGGAGUCGGAGUGCGCAUGUUAGGACCCGAAAGAUUGCGAACUAUGCUUGCGUAGAGUGAAGCCAGGCGAAAGUCUGGUGGAGGCUCGUAGUCGUACUGACGUGAAAAUCGUUGAUCAAAUGUGAGUAUAGCGGCGAAAGACCAAUCGAGCAGUCUAGUAGCUGGUUCCUGC
This 2219-nucleotide unclassified non-coding RNA is filed under the name uncultured fungus. RNAcentral's name for it is "sequence contains 18S rRNA gene, ITS1, 5.8S rRNA gene, ITS2, 28S rRNA gene". The stretch from base 1111 to 2219 matches the Rfam family "Eukaryotic large subunit ribosomal RNA", at positions 1 to 961 of the family's 3401-position model. Lineage: Eukaryota; Fungi. The record is from RNAcentral.